GACGAACGCUGGCGGCGUGCCUAAUACAUGCAAGUCGAACGCACUCUCGUUUAGAUUGAAGGAGCUUGCUCCUGAUUGAUAAACAUUUGAGUGAGUGGCGGACGGGUGAGUAACACGUGGGUAACCUGCCCUAAAGUGGGGGAUAACAUUUGGAAACAGAUGCUAAUACCGCAUAAAACCUAACACCGCAUGGUGUUGGGUUGAAAGAUGGUUUCGGCUAUCACUUUAGGAUGGACCCGCGGUGCAUUAGUUAGUUGGUGAGGUAAAGGCUCACCAAGACCGUGAUGCAUAGCCGACCUGAGAGGGUAAUCGGCCACACUGGGACUGAGACACGGCCCAGACUCCUACGGGAGGCAGCAGUAGGGAAUCUUCCACAAUGGACGAAAGUCUGAUGGAGCAACGCCGCGUGAGUGAAGAAGGUUUUCGGAUCGUAAAACUCUGUUGUUGGAGAAGAAUGUAUCUGAUAGUAACUGAUCAGGUAGUGACGGUAUCCAACCAGAAAG
This 503-nucleotide ribosomal RNA is filed under the name uncultured bacterium. Its description in RNAcentral is "bacterial SSU rRNA". It matches the Rfam family "Bacterial small subunit ribosomal RNA", at positions 28 to 490 of the family's 1533-position model. The record is from RNAcentral.